GGAGGGCGCUUACCACUUUGUGAUUCAUGACUGGGGUGAAGUCGUAACAAGGUAACCGUAGGGGAACCUGCGGUUGGAUCACCUCCUUACCUUAAAGAAGC
Molecule: ribosomal RNA, 101 nt
Filed under: Escherichia coli
Lineage: Bacteria; Pseudomonadati; Pseudomonadota; Gammaproteobacteria; Enterobacterales; Enterobacteriaceae
Also listed under: 11 other names
Description: partial 16S ribosomal RNA
Rfam family: Bacterial small subunit ribosomal RNA (bases 1-89)
Source: RNAcentral